RNAcentral lists this ribosomal RNA (498 nucleotides) under uncultured bacterium. Its description in RNAcentral is "partial 16S ribosomal RNA". It matches the Rfam family "Bacterial small subunit ribosomal RNA", at positions 28 to 507 of the family's 1533-position model. The record is from RNAcentral.
GACGAACGCUGGCGGCAUGCCUAAUACAUGCAAGUUGAACGAUGAUAUUCUCUGCUUGCAGAGAAUUGAAGAGUAGCGAACGGGCGAGUAACACGUGGGGAACCUGCCCAUGAGAGGGGGAUAACAUUCGGAAACGGAUGCUAAUACCGCAUAAUGCUUUGGACCGCCUGGUCCAGAGACGAAAGACGGCUUUUGCUGUCACUCAUGGAUGGCCCCGCGCCGUAUUAGCUAGUUGGUGAGGUAAUGGCUCACCAAAGCUGUGAUACGUAGCCGACCUGAGAGGGUGAUCGGCCACACUGGGACUGAGACACGGCCCAGACUCCUACGGGAGGCAGCAGUAGGGAAUCUUCCACAAUGGGCGAAAGCCUGAUGGAGCAAUGCCGCGUGAAUGAAGAAGGUCUUCGGAUCGUAAAGUUCUGUUAUUAGAGAAGAACAAGUCAAGGAGUAACUGUCUUGACUUUGACGGUACCUAACCAGAAAGUCACGGCUAACUACGUG